RNAcentral lists this transfer RNA (64 nucleotides) under Orientotermes emersoni. Its description in RNAcentral is "tRNA-His". The record is from RNAcentral. Lineage: Eukaryota; Metazoa; Arthropoda; Insecta; Blattodea; Termitidae.
AUCUAAAUAGUUUAAUAAAAAUAUUGGUUUGUGGUACCAGUGAUAUAAUUUUUUAUUUUAGAUU